This 63-nucleotide transfer RNA is filed under the name Ectobiidae sp. Z140. RNAcentral describes it as "tRNA-Leu". RNAcentral also lists the same sequence under 1 other name. Lineage: Eukaryota; Metazoa; Arthropoda; Insecta; Blattodea; Ectobiidae. The record is from RNAcentral.
UCUAAUAUGGCAGAAAAGUGCAAUGGAUUUAAGCUCCAAAUAUGAAAAUAAUUUCUAUUAGAA